Molecule: transfer RNA, 67 nt
Filed under: Provanna sp. JWQ-2014
Lineage: Eukaryota; Metazoa; Mollusca; Gastropoda; Provannidae
Description: tRNA-Val
Rfam family: tRNA
About the family: Transfer RNA (tRNA) molecules are approximately 80 nucleotides in length. Their secondary structure includes four short double-helical elements and three loops (D, anti-codon, and T loops). Further hydrogen bonds mediate the characteristic L-shaped molecular structure. tRNAs have two regions of fundamental functional importance: the anti-codon, which is responsible for specific mRNA codon recognition, and the 3' end, to which the tRNAs corresponding amino acid is attached (by aminoacyl-tRNA synthetases). tRNAs cope with the degeneracy of the genetic code in two manners: having more than one tRNA (with a specific anti-codon) for a particular amino acid; and 'wobble' base-pairing, i.e. permitting non-standard base-pairing at the 3rd anti-codon position.
Source: RNAcentral
AUAGAUGUAGCAUAAAUUAAUGCAUUUCACUUACACUGAAAACAUACUUUUAUAUAAGUCAUCUUUA